GUUUGAUCAUGGCUCAGAUUGAACGCUGGCGGCAGGCCUAACACAUGCAAGUCGAGCGCGAAAACACUUCGGUGUGAGUAGAGCGGCGGACGGGUGAGUAAUGCUUGGGAAUCUGCCCAAUAGUGGGGGAUAACGUGUGGAAACGCACGCUAAUACCGCAUACGUCCUACGGGAGAAAGCAGGGGAUCUUCGGACCUUGCGCUAUUGGAUGAGCCCAAGUCAGAUUAGCUAGUUGGUGGGGUAAUGGCUCACCAAGGCGACGAUCUGUAGCUGGUCUGAGAGGAUGAUCAGCCACACUGGGACUGAGACACGGCCCAGACUCCUACGGGAGGCAGCAGUGGGGAAUAUUGCACAAUGGGCGAAAGCCUGAUGCAGCCAUGCCGCGUGUGUGAAGAAGGCUCUAGGGUUGUAAAGCACUUUCAGUGGGGAGGAAAAGUUCAAAACUAAUAUUUUUGAACCUUGACGUUACCUGCAGAAGAAGCACCGGCAAACUCCGUGCCAGCAGCCGCGGUAAUACGGAGGGUGCGAGCGUUAAUCGGAAUUACUGGGCGUAAAGCGCGCGUAGGUGGUUUGAUAAGCUAGCUGUGAAAGCCCUGGGCUCAACCUGGGAACUGCAGUUAGAACUGUCUGGCUAGAGUAUAGUAGAGGGUGGCGGAAUUUCCUGUGUAGCGGUGAAAUGCGUAGAUAUAGGAAGGAACAUCAGUGGCGAAGGCGGCCACCUGGACUAAUACUGACACUGAGGUGCGAAAGCGUGGGGGAGCAAACAGGAUUAGAUACCCUGGUAGUCCACGCCGUAAACGAUGUCUACUAGCCGUUGGGAGACUUGAUCUCUUAGUGGCGCAGUUAACGCGAUAAGUAGACCGCCUGGGGAGUACGGGCCGCAAGGUUAAAACUCAAAUG
Molecule: ribosomal RNA, 900 nt
Filed under: uncultured bacterium
Lineage: Bacteria
Description: bacterial SSU rRNA
Rfam family: Bacterial small subunit ribosomal RNA
Source: RNAcentral